GAUCAAGUAGUUUAGUGGCUAGAGCUCACACAAUUUAAUUGUGGAUUGUCCGGGGUUCGAACCCCCGCCUCCUAU
Molecule: transfer RNA, 75 nt
Filed under: Medicago truncatula (barrel medic)
Lineage: Eukaryota; Viridiplantae; Streptophyta; Magnoliopsida; Fabales; Fabaceae
Description: tRNA-OTHER
Source: RNAcentral